GAUGAACGCUAGCUACAGGCUUAACACAUGCAAGUCGAGGGGUAACGAGAGGAAAGCUUGCUUUCCUUGUCGACGACCGGCGCACGGGUGAGUAACGCGUAUCCAACCUGCCCCCAACUAGGGAAUAACCUUGCGAAAGCAAGACUAAUACCCUAUAAUUUCCUCAGAUGUCAUCUGACGAGGAAUAGAGAUUUAUCGGUUGUGGAUGGGGAUGCGUCUGAUUAGCUUGUUGGCGGGGUAACGGCCCACCAAGGCAACGAUCAGUAGGGGUUCUGGGAGGAAGGUCCCCCACAUGGGAACUGAGACACGGUCAAAACGCCUACGGGAGGCAGCAGUGAGGAAUAUUGGUCAAUGGGCGGAAGCCUGAACCAGCCAAGUAGCGUGCAGGAUGACGGCCCUAUGGGUUGUAAACUGCUUUUAUACAGGAAUAAAGUUAGCCACGUGUGGUUAUUUGUAGGUACUGUAUGAAUAAGGACCGGCUAAUUCCGUGCCAGCCGCCGCAGUAA
This 506-nucleotide ribosomal RNA is filed under the name uncultured bacterium. RNAcentral's name for it is "partial 16S ribosomal RNA". It matches the Rfam family "Bacterial small subunit ribosomal RNA", at positions 28 to 523 of the family's 1533-position model. The record is from RNAcentral.